This 268-nucleotide ribosomal RNA is filed under the name Monacha claustralis. RNAcentral describes it as "partial 16S ribosomal RNA". The record is from RNAcentral. Lineage: Eukaryota; Metazoa; Mollusca; Gastropoda; Stylommatophora; Hygromiidae.
GGCUUAUAAUUGAAGUCUAGUAUGAAUGGGAACACGGGAAUAUUCUGUCUUUAAUAUAUUAAAAGAAAUUACUAAUUAAGUGAAAAUUCUUAAAAGUAAGAAAAUAGACGAGAAGACCCUAGAAAUUUUUUAAUUUGAUUUUGUUGGGGCGACAGGGUAACAAAAAACUUACCUAAGGUAAUAGGAAAUUUUUUAGUGGUGUAAUUAAAUUACUCUAGGGAUAACAGCAUAAUAUUUUAAAGGUUGUGACCUCGAUGUUGGACUAGGA